AUGUCUACGCCAACUGGGAAUUACGUUCAUCCGGACGUGAUUGGGAAUGCGUUUGCUCAACAAUACUACAGAGUUUUGAAUUCGUCGCCAGAGCAUGUCCAUAAGUUCUAUCAUGAUGAAAGUAUCCUUGGUCGACCAGAUUCUGAUGGUCCAUUGACAUCUAUAACCACUACAUACGCUAUCAAUCAACACUUCUUAUCUACAGAUAUGAAGGGAUGUUUGAUACAGUUAGAUAAUGUAGAUACUCAGCCCUCCCACGGUGGUGGUGUGCUCAUUUUGGUUACUGGAUCUCUUACCAUGCUUGAUACUGUGAAGCAUAGAUUUGUUCAGUCAUUCUUCCUUGCUCCACAAGAAAAUGGAGGCUAUUUUGUUUUGAAUGAUGUGCUUCGAGGUGUGCCGGAGAUGCCAUUGGCUGAGACAAAUGAAGCUUUAGUUGACCAUGUUAAUGGAAACACUCAGAUUGCCCCAUUUCCAGCUGAACCAGAAACAUCUGUCAAGGAGAGCGUGGACCCAGAGCUUCCAUCUGCAGGGAAUAUUUCCACCAAUGGUGAAGUCAUAAAUCCAUCUGCAGAGACGAUUCCUGUGGAUGCUGAAGUCAUAAAUCCAUCGGCAGAGAAUAUUUCCAUCAAUGAUGAAGUCAUGGAUCCAUCUGUAGAGAGUAUUUCUAGCAAGGACAAAGUCAUAAAUUCAUUUGGAAAUGAAAAUUCUCAAAUUAAGAAUGAUGCUAUUAAGAUACCUGAGGUAGCACCUACUCCUGCUUCAGCUCAGAAGGAUGUUAUUAAGAAGACUUAUGCAUCGAUCGUUAAGGCCACAAAUGAGAGCAUACCGCCAGCACCCAUUACCAAACCCAAACCCAAACCCAAACCUAGACCAAAUCCAACAGUAAAGAGAGCUGAAAAUGUGGAGAAAUCUUCGUCUGUUCCUGCAAAAACUACGCAUGCAGCUGAUACUGCGCCUCCAAAUGACCAAAAUAUUUCUGAUGACCAAGGGUAUUCAAUCUUUGUGAAGAACUUGCCUUGGAAUGCAACUAUCGAAAUGGUUGAGGCUGAGUUCAGUAAGUUUGGUUCAAUCAAGCCUCGUGGUAUACAAGUUGUACACCGUCAGGCUGAUGGGUUCUGCUUUGGCUUUGUUGAAUUUGAGUCUGAAAAAUCAAUGAAUGCAGCAAUCGAGGUAUUUAAAGUUCGUUUUGGCUCGUAUGUGUCUUAUGUCGAGGAGAAGCGAACUCCAAAACGAGUUGUUAAUGGAGUCACCCAUAGUGAGUACAAUGGCAAUGCCCGGGGCAGUCGGGUCCUGCCAGACAGAGGUGGUUACCAUGGCGACAACUUCAGGGGACAGGGAGCAGGCUUUGUGAACAAUGGCAACUACCGUGAUGGCGACAACUUCAGGGGUCAGGGAGCGAGCUUUGUGAACAACAUUAACUACCGUGAUGGUGAAAACUUCAGAGGGCGGGGAGCGGGCUUUGUGAACAAUGGUAACAACUACCGUGAUGGCAAUAACAUGAGGAAUGAUAACAGAAAUCAGAACGAGUACUCAGGCCAUGGUCGAGGACAGCAGGGGAAUGACUACCGCCAGAAUGACACCCGUCAGAACAGGAAUGACUACCGUCAGGACGGGAACGGCUACCGCCAGAAUGGAGAUGACUACCGCCAGAACAGGGAUGGCUACCGUCAGAUCGGAGAUGGCUUCCGCCAUAACAGGGACGGCUACCGCCAGAACGGAGAUGGCUUCCGCCAGAACAGGGACGGCUACCGCCAGAACGGAGAUGACUACCGCCAGAAUGGGAACGGACACCAUCAGCCACGCCCCGUCCAUAACGGGAACGGGAAUGCGAAUGGGAGGCCUGGCCGCUUCAAUGGUCCCAAGCAAAUAGCAGUUACCGCAUAG
Molecule: ribosomal RNA, 1884 nt
Filed under: Triticum aestivum (bread wheat)
Lineage: Eukaryota; Viridiplantae; Streptophyta; Magnoliopsida; Poales; Poaceae
Description: partial small subunit ribosomal RNA
Source: RNAcentral